RNAcentral lists this non-coding RNA (28 nucleotides) under Homo sapiens (human). Lineage: Eukaryota; Metazoa; Chordata; Mammalia; Primates; Hominidae. The record is from RNAcentral.
GGAGACAGGAAGCCAACAAACUACAUGU